This 429-nucleotide ribosomal RNA is filed under the name Verrucomicrobiota bacterium. RNAcentral's name for it is "Verrucomicrobia bacterium partial 16S ribosomal RNA". It matches the Rfam family "Bacterial small subunit ribosomal RNA", at positions 355 to 776 of the family's 1533-position model. Lineage: Bacteria; Pseudomonadati; Verrucomicrobiota. The record is from RNAcentral.
UAGGGAAUCUUCCGCAAUGGACGAAAGUCUGACGGAGCAACGCCGCGUGAGUGAAGAAGGCUUUCGGUUCGUAAAACUCUGUUGUUAGGGAAGAAAAAAUGUAUAGUAACUAUAUACAAAAGAGACGGUACCUAACCAGAAAGCCACGGCUAACUACGUGCCAGCAGCCGCGGUAAUACGUAGGUGGCAAGCGUUGUCCGGAAUUAUUGGGCGUAAAGCGCGCGCAGGUGGUUUAGAAAGUCUGAUGUGAAAGCCCACGGCUCAACCGUGGAGGGUCAUUGGAAACUAAUAAACUUGAGUGCAGGAGAGAAAAGUGGAAUUCCUGGUGUAGCGGUGAAAUGCGUAGAGAUUAGGAGGAACACCGGUGGCGAAAGCGGCUUUUUGGCCUGCAACUGACACUGAGGCGCGAAAGCGUGGGGAGCAAACAGG